Molecule: ribosomal RNA, 358 nt
Filed under: uncultured bacterium
Lineage: Bacteria
Description: bacterial SSU rRNA
Rfam family: Bacterial small subunit ribosomal RNA
Source: RNAcentral
UAAUGCCGGAUAGGCAACUGGUAGGCAGUCUAACCGGUUGGGAAAGGUGCAACUGCACCGCAGAUGGAGGAGCCCGCGGCGCAUUAGCUAGUUGGUGGGGUAACGGCCCACCAAGGCGACGAUGCGUAGCCGACCUGAGAGGGUGACCGGCCACACUGGGACUGAGACACGGCCCCAGACUCCUACGGGAGGCAGCAGUAGGGAAUCUUCGGCAAUGGGCGAAAGCCUGACCGAGCAACGCCGCGUGAGCGAAGAAGGCCUUCGGGUUGUAAAGCUCAGUCACCCGGGAAGAGCGGGCAGGAGAGGGAAUGCUCCUGUCGAGACGGUACCGGGAGAGGAAGCCCCGGCUAACUACGUG